AUGAACGCUAGCGACAGGCUAACACAUGCAAGUCGAGGGGUAACAGGGUAGCAAUACCGCUGACGACCGGCGCACGGGUGAGUAACGCGUAUGCAAACUUGCCUAGUAACUGGGGAAUAGCUCCCUGAAAGGGGAAUUAACACCGCAUAAUACUAUUGAUUCGCAUGGAUUAGUAGUUAAAUGUAGCGAUACAGGUUAUAGAUGGGCAUGCGUGACAUUAGCUAGUUGGUGAGGUAACGGCUCACCAAGGCUACGAUGUCUAGGGGUUCUGAGAGGAAGGCCCCCCACACUGGUACUGAGACACGGACCAGACUCCUACGGGAGGCAGCAGUGAGGAAUAUUGGUCAAUGGGCGCAAGCCUGAACCAGCCAUGUCGCGUGCAGGAAGACUGCCCUAUGGGUUGUAAACUGCUUUUAUAGUAGAAGAAACACAUCUACGUGUAGAUGUCUGCCAGUAUACUAUGAAUAAGCAUCGGCUAACUCCGUGCCAGCAGCCGC
This 497-nucleotide ribosomal RNA is filed under the name uncultured bacterium. RNAcentral's name for it is "bacterial SSU rRNA". It matches the Rfam family "Bacterial small subunit ribosomal RNA", at positions 29 to 518 of the family's 1533-position model. The record is from RNAcentral.